CUAAAAAAAAGCACGCCACAGAUGUUGUAUAGAAAAAAAAGAACAUAUCUUUUCUCCCCACCACUUAUCUCCGCUGAUUCAUCUCUCCCAUCGGCAUGGAUCCCCUAACCUCUCUCCUCCGAUCCUCCCCUGUGGAGACGUUCUCCAUGCCUCUCCAUGCGCCCCCGCAUCCAUGGGUCUCCGUCGCCAGCGUGGCUCCGCGCCUCAUCUGGUGUGGCUGCACAGCGUCUUCGCACGCGCGGGAGAUGAAUUGCGCUCGAUGGUGCUGCUCCGCCUCGGCUACAUCGACUUCGACGCCGACGGUUCGGUAAGGCACUUCUCCCAUCUUCUCUUAUCCUUCCAGCCGCUGCCCACCUACAUGGCCGCCGCACCUCAUGCACGAGUCCGAAGGCGCAACGCGCACUACACACACCGCCUACGUGCCCCUUCCCUGGCGUCUUUGUGAUGCUCGACGCCACCGCCCGACCCUCUGCCACGGCAGGCAGCCGAUGCCUUUCCCCCAAGCGCUGCCUCGGCGCCCCUCUCCUGGCCUCGGUAGGAUUCUUGAUUGUGCCUCCAUCAUCUCUGUGAACGCUCGUCGCUAUUGUGCGUUCGUCUCGUGGUUAAAAUAAUUGUACAUCUUCUCUGCCUAUUUGGUAUGUAAGUAGUGUGUUUUCCUCUUCUGGUUGAUAUGCAAGUAAUGUGUGCUCAUUGGAAGUUAAUGUCAUACAGGAAAGAGGGAAGCACCACAAUGAACUGCAGUCGAGUUCGAGGAAUAAUUGUUCUUAUAAUGCAAUUUGGGCUCUGUUAAUUGGUGAAUUCUAUUUUAGAAGUCCACUUUUAUAGGGAAAAAGGGUGCUGUUCAAAGAAUUAGGUAGCUUGCCUGAAUUCUUCUUGUGGGAGUUGUGCAGAAUCCAGGACAAUUUUUCUCCCCAUAACCACUUUGGUGUCCUCUUAUGGAACAAGUUAUACACCACUCUGAUGGCCCAGAUAAUUGAAUGGUCCAUGGCUAAGUUGUUAAUUGCAAGGUGGAGAAUGAGGGUCUAAGUUGUUGAUGCAAGGUGGAGAAUGAGGGUCAAGUUGUUGAUUGCAAGGUGGAGAAUGGGGGCUAAGUUGUUGAUUGCAAGGUGGAGAAUGAGGCCAAGUUGUUGAUUGCAAAGUGGUGAAUGGGGGCCAAGUUGUCUACUACCAAAUAGUUUUACAUUCACAUUGUAGAACAUGAAUUUCAUGGUCAAUGUAUAUGAAUCAUUGGAUUGUGCUCCAUGUAAUGCAUCCGGCAUGAUUUAAUAAAGAGAUCUUUCCGUUUA
Molecule: ribosomal RNA, 1286 nt
Filed under: Triticum aestivum (bread wheat)
Lineage: Eukaryota; Viridiplantae; Streptophyta; Magnoliopsida; Poales; Poaceae
Description: partial small subunit ribosomal RNA
Source: RNAcentral